UGAGGAAUAUUGGACAAUGGUCGGAAGACUGAUCCAGCCAUGCCGCGUGUCUGAAGAAGGCCUUCGGGUUGUAAAGGACUUUUGUCAGGGAAGAAAAGGCUGUUGCUAAUAUCGACAGCUGAUGACGGUACCUGAAGAAUAAGCACCGGCUAACUACGUGCCAGCAGCCGCGGUAAUACGUAGGGUGCGAGCGUUAAUCGGAAUUACUGGGCGUAAAGCGAGCGCAGACGGUUACUUAAGCAGGAUGUGAAAUCCCCGGGCUCAACCUGGGAACUGCGUUCUGAACUGGGUGACUAGAGUGUGUCAGAGGGAGGUAGAAUUCCACGUGUAGCAGUGAAAUGCGUAGAGAUGUGGAGGAAUACCGAUGGCGAAGGCAGCCUCCUGGGAUAACACUGACGUUCAUGCUCGAAAGCGUGGGUAGCAAACAGGAUUAGAUACCCUGGUAGUCCACGCCCUAAACGAUGUCAAUUAGCUGUUGGGCAACUUGAUUGCUUAGUAGCGUAGCUAACGCGUGAAAUUGACCGCCUGGGGAGUACGGUCGCAAGAUUA
RNAcentral lists this ribosomal RNA (549 nucleotides) under uncultured bacterium. RNAcentral describes it as "bacterial SSU rRNA". It matches the Rfam family "Bacterial small subunit ribosomal RNA", at positions 355 to 896 of the family's 1533-position model. The record is from RNAcentral.